This 600-nucleotide ribosomal RNA is filed under the name uncultured bacterium. RNAcentral's name for it is "bacterial SSU rRNA". It matches the Rfam family "Bacterial small subunit ribosomal RNA", at positions 83 to 679 of the family's 1533-position model. The record is from RNAcentral.
CUACCUGAUUCAGCGGCGGACGGGUGAGUAAUGCUUAGGAAUCUGCCCGAUAGUGGGGGACAACGUUUCGAAAGGAACGCUAAUACCGCAUACGUCCUACGGGAGAAAGUGGGGGAUCUUCGGACCUCACGCUAUCGGAUGAGCCUAGGUCGGAUUAGCUAGUUGGUGAGGUAAUGGCUCACCAAGGCGACGAUCCGUAACUGGUCUGAGAGGAUGAUCAGUCACACUGGAACUGAGACACGGUCCAGACUCCUACGGGAGGCAGCAGUGGGGAAUAUUGGACAAUGGGCGAAAGCCUGAUCCAGCCAUGCCGCGUGUGUGAAGAAGGUCUUCGGAUUGUAAAGCACUUUAAGUUGGGAGGAAGGGCAGUAAGCUAAUACCUUGCUGUUUUGACGUUACCAACAGAAUAAGCACCGGCUAACUCUGUGCCAGCAGCCGCGGUAAUACAGAGGGUGCAAGCGUUAAUCGGAAUUACUGGGCGUAAAGCGCGCGUAGGUGGUUCAGCAAGUUGGAUGUGAAAUCCCCGGGCUCAACCUGGGAACUGCAUCCAAAACUACUGAGCUAGAGUACGGUAGAGGGUGGUGGAAUUUCCUGUGUAGC